This is a long non-coding RNA of Ictalurus punctatus (channel catfish), 1203 nucleotides long. The record is from Ensembl. NCBI's taxonomy places the organism in Eukaryota, Metazoa, Chordata, Actinopteri, Siluriformes, Ictaluridae.
GGGGCCCAACAGUGGUAACUGGGCACUGCUGGGGCUUGAACCCCCGACCUGCCGAUCAGUAACCCAGAGCCUUGACCGCUAAGCCACCACUGCUUCAGUAAUAAGAUAAGAUAGGUGAAGGUGAUCUGGGCCAUUUGAGUGAACUUACACAGAUUGUAUAUGUGAUACAGGAAGGUUGGGGAGUUCAGCUGAGUAUGUGUUUUGGUGUGUGUGUGUGUGUGUGUGUCAUAUGAUUUCAUCAUCCCACUUCAUCAGUCUCUAAUAAUGACAGACUAGUAUGCAUGCUGUGGUAGAUCACCGAGUCAUUUGAGUCAGCUGCCACACAACUUUAUGCUUUUAAAUCUAUAAGAAAAUGUCAAUGUGGAUUAUUAGGCUCCUCUAAACAAGACUGGUAUAAAAUACUUAUCAUUGUGCUUUAAUUGGAAGAGCACUGUCUAGGUAGAAGCAUUUCUGAUCAGCAUUAUUGUGGUCCUAAGAUAAAGGCUGUCCCCAUUGGAAGGCAGGUCUGGCAUACUGUAUUUUAGUCAGGCAUGUACUGCAUUUUGACCGUAGGGGGGCAGACAGGGGGCCAGACAGAUCCUCUGAGGUACUGCAUUUUGGCCAAUCAGGUCCUCUGAGGCAAUACAUUUUGGACAGACAGAUCCUCUGAGGUAAUGAAUUUUGGACAGACAGAUCCCCUGAGGCAAUGAAUUUUGGCCAAUCAGCUCCUCUGAGGUACUGCAUAUUGGCCAGACAGAUAUUCUGAGGUACUGCAUAUUGGCCAGACAGAUAUUCUGAGGUACUGCAUUUUGGCCAGACAGAUCCUCUGAGGUAAUGAAUUUUGGACAGACAGAUCCUCUCUGAGAUAUUUCAUUUUGGACAGACAGAGGCAGGUCUUCUGAGAUACUGCAUUAUUAUGUGGUGACCAAAAGACCUGUUAAAAAAAACUAUUAUAUGUAACAUUUUUAACACUAUUCCUGAUUAAGUUUUGCACAUCCUUGUCAUCUUUUCAACUAGGUUCAUGAAGGAGCUUCACCCAGGAGGCUUUCUCAGAAAGGCAGAGCUCCUAACUGCUUCUCCUAAGUUCUAAAUGAAAACUACUUCUUUGGGGAAAAUGUACUUCUUUCGAGUAAAAACUACUUAUUUGAAAUGCAUUUUGUACAUGGGCAUCAACUUGCCCAUAUAUAUAUAUAUAUAUAUAUAUAUCUAGUGUGUCCAAACUUU